AGUGGCGUUAGCUGAUAAGUUUCUUCUAAAUACUUUAAUGAGGUGCAAUUCCUUGACCACUU
Molecule: transfer RNA, 62 nt
Filed under: Brachionus koreanus
Lineage: Eukaryota; Metazoa; Rotifera; Eurotatoria; Ploima; Brachionidae
Description: tRNA-Ser
Source: RNAcentral